GAUGAAGAACGUAGUGAAAUGCGAUAAGUAAUGUGAAUUGCAGAAUUCAGUGAAUCAUCGAAUCUUUGAACGCACAUUGCGCCCCCUGGUAUUCCGGGGGGCAUGCCUGUUCGAGCGUCAUUUCAACCUUCAAGCUCUGCUUGGUAUUGGGCCUGCGCUGGUCUCCCAGCGGGCCUCAAAAUCAGUGGCGGUGCCAUCUGGCUUCAAGCGUAGUAACACAUCUCGCUUCCGGAGACCCAGGUGUUUGCCUGCCAGCAACCCCAUCUUCUCAGGUUGACCUCGGAUCAGGUAGGGCUACCCGCUGAACUUAAGCAUAUCAAUAAGCGGAGGA
Molecule: unclassified non-coding RNA, 331 nt
Filed under: soil metagenome
Description: partial contains 5.8S ribosomal RNA, internal transcribed spacer 2, and large subunit ribosomal RNA
Rfam family: 5.8S ribosomal RNA (bases 1-120)
Source: RNAcentral